RNAcentral lists this transfer RNA (83 nucleotides) under bacterium. RNAcentral's name for it is "tRNA-Leu". It matches the Rfam family "tRNA". Rfam says of the family: Transfer RNA (tRNA) molecules are approximately 80 nucleotides in length. Their secondary structure includes four short double-helical elements and three loops (D, anti-codon, and T loops). Further hydrogen bonds mediate the characteristic L-shaped molecular structure. tRNAs have two regions of fundamental functional importance: the anti-codon, which is responsible for specific mRNA codon recognition, and the 3' end, to which the tRNAs corresponding amino acid is attached (by aminoacyl-tRNA synthetases). tRNAs cope with the degeneracy of the genetic code in two manners: having more than one tRNA (with a specific anti-codon) for a particular amino acid; and 'wobble' base-pairing, i.e. permitting non-standard base-pairing at the 3rd anti-codon position. The record is from RNAcentral. RNAcentral also lists the same sequence under 1 other name.
GCCGAGGUGGCGAAAUGGCAGACGCACUGGCUUCAGGUGCCAGCGAUCGCAAGGUCAUGGGGGUUCGACUCCCCCCCUCGGCA